CCUACGGGUGGCUGCAGUGGGGAAUAUUGGGCAAUGGGCGCAAGCCUGAACCAGCAACGCCGCGUGAAGGAAGAAGGCUUUCGGGUUGUAAACUUCUUUUCUCAGGGACGAAGCAAGUGACGGUACCUGAAGAAUAAGCGCCGGCUAACUACGUGCCAGCAGCCGCGCUAAUACGUAGGGCGCGGGCGUUAUCCGGAAUUAUUGGGUGUAAAGGGUGCGUAGGUGGCAGAGUAAGUCAUUCGUAAAAAUGCUGGGCUCAACCCAGUAGGGCAAAAGAUACUGCGAAGCUAGAGUAUGAGAGAGGCAAGUGGAACUAGAUGUGUAGCGGUGAAAUGCGUAGAUAUAAGUAAGAACACCAGUGGCGAAGGCGGCUUACUGGGUCGAAACUGACGUUGAGGCACGAAAGCGUGGGGAGCGAACAGGAUUAGAUACCCGAGUAGUC
RNAcentral lists this ribosomal RNA (442 nucleotides) under uncultured bacterium. RNAcentral's name for it is "partial 16S ribosomal RNA". It matches the Rfam family "Bacterial small subunit ribosomal RNA", at positions 338 to 795 of the family's 1533-position model. The record is from RNAcentral.